UAAGUUAUGGCGCGUGCACAGCCUACGUGACCACGUACUGCACCGCCGCACCACAGGUUAAGCUAACGCUGCUGUCGGGAAAUGUAUUAGCAAAGUUAAUAAUGAGUGAACAACCUGUGUCAGGAGACAAAACUCAGACACCGCCAAAGUCGCAAUUUAUGCCGUCACUAGACGCAUCUCACCCGCACUCGCAUGGAGGCAUUUUGGCUUUGAGUAGACGGAUGUUGUUCAAAUGACGGACUGAAAAACUAUGUCGGAAAUCGACUACUGUUAAAGAUAACUCGGCAGCAUCUGCAAACUAAACACCGCACGGAAUAUGAAACAAAUGAAAAGCUUCAGGAGCCGUGCACGACAGGACUAAACCAGCCAAGGUGAAAUGUUUGUCCUCCGAAAAACGCGCAGAGGAGUCUGAGAGGAGAAGCCCAGGGCACAAUGAAGUCCAAAUGGAAGCAGCUGGUGGCCUGAGAAGCAGCAGAGAUUAAUGUGUGAUGCUGGCAACACCAACUGUGCAUGAGAAAGAGUGAUUGCCGUCUGAACCACAACAACAGAAUUGAAUUAGCCAUAUCAAUCACACAUUGUGGUAUGUGAGUGUUUGUGUGUCUGAGAAAGGGAGACUGAGAUAAAGCAGGCGUUUGUUUGCUGGUUCAGGUCAGCCCUGUAUCUUUCAUUAUGUGGGGUUUGAACAUUGCAUAUUUAAUGAUUCCUUUUACCUAGAAACUGUUUUAACACAGACAGGCUGACAUGCACCGUGUGACUAAUUAAAUGAAUAUUUCCCAUGUUGCAGAGGGAGAUUCAUAUUUAUGUACUGUAUGAUAAUUAGCUGAUAGCAUUUAGACUCUGGGCCAAAUGAAAAAGCAAACUCAGGAUUUCACCUUGGACUCUGGGGGGAAAACAAAACAAAACCUUGGACUCUGGAAUAUAAAUAUGAGCAUUUCUAACAGUUUUCUGACAUUUUAGCCAAAGAAAGAAUUAAUGAAUCAAGAAAGAAACGUGCCAGAUUAAUUGAUAAUGGAUAUAACUUUUAGUUGCAGUGCAAGUUGACUUUUGAAAGAAGCCAAA
Molecule: long non-coding RNA, 1059 nt
Organism: Monopterus albus (swamp eel)
Lineage: Eukaryota; Metazoa; Chordata; Actinopteri; Synbranchiformes; Synbranchidae
Exons: 3
Source: RefSeq, a predicted model, not a curated record